ANUGGCGGACGGGUGUGUAAUGUCUGGGAAACUGCCUGAUGGAGUGGGAUAACAACUGGAAACGGUAGCUAAUACCGCAUAACGUCGCAAGACCAAAGAGGGGGACCUUCGGGCCUCUUGCCAUCAGAUGUGCCCAGAUGGGAUUAGCUAGUAGGUGGGGUAAUGGCUCACCUAGGCGACGAUCCCUAGCUGGUCUGAGAGGAUGACCAGCCACACUGGAACUGAGACACGGUCCAGACUCCUACGGGAGGCAGCAGUGGGGAAUAUUGCACAAUGGGCGCAAGCCUGAUGCAGCCAUGCCGCGUGUAUGAAGAAGGCCUUCGGGUUGUAAAGUACUUUCAGCGGGGAGGAAGGUGUUGCGGUUAAUAACCGCAGCAAUUGACGUUACCCGCAGAAGAAGCACCGGCUAACUCCGUGCCAGCAGCCGCGGUAAUACGGAGGGUGCAAGCGUUAAUCGGAAUUACUGGGCGUAAAGCGCACGCAGGCGGUCUGUCAAGUCGGAUGUGAAAUCCCCGGGCUCAACCUGGGAACUGCAUUCGAAACUGGCAGGCUAGAGUCUUGUAGAGGGGGGUAGAAUUCCAGGUGUAGCGGUGAAAUGCGUAGAGAUCUGGAGGAAUACCGGUGGCGA
RNAcentral lists this ribosomal RNA (628 nucleotides) under Leclercia adecarboxylata. Its description in RNAcentral is "bacterial SSU rRNA". It matches the Rfam family "Bacterial small subunit ribosomal RNA", at positions 94 to 718 of the family's 1533-position model. Lineage: Bacteria; Pseudomonadati; Pseudomonadota; Gammaproteobacteria; Enterobacterales; Enterobacteriaceae. The record is from RNAcentral.